Molecule: ribosomal RNA, 253 nt
Filed under: uncultured bacterium
Lineage: Bacteria
Description: partial 16S ribosomal RNA
Rfam family: Bacterial small subunit ribosomal RNA
Source: RNAcentral
UACAGAGGGUGCGAGCGUUAAUCGGAAUUACUGGGCGUAAAGCGCGCGUAGGCGGCUUUGCAAGUCGGGUGUGAAAUCCCCAGGCUUAACCUGGGAACUGCAUUCGAGACUGCAUUGCUAGAGUAUGGGAGAGGGCAGUGGAAUUUCCGGUGUAGCGGUGAAAUGCGUAGAUAUCGGAAGGAACAUCAGUGGCGAAAGCGACUGCCUGGACCGAUACUGACGCUCAUGUGCGAAAGCGUGGGGAGCAAACAGG